Molecule: ribosomal RNA, 735 nt
Filed under: uncultured soil bacterium
Lineage: Bacteria
Description: bacterial SSU rRNA
Rfam family: Bacterial small subunit ribosomal RNA
Source: RNAcentral
UAAUACAUGCAAGUCGUACGGGAUUUCCCCUUUCGGGGGGGAUGAGAGUGGCGCACGGGUGCGUAACGCGUAUGCAACCUACCCCAUACAGGGGGAUAGCUCCCGGAAACGGGAAUUAAUAUCCCAUGGUACCGUUCGGUGGCAUCACCGGACGUUUAAAGCGCCGAUUUUAUCGGAGGCGGUAUGGGACGGGCAUGCGUAGGAUUAGCUAGUUGGUGCGGUAACGGCGCACCAAGGCAGUGAUCCUUAGGGGUUCUGAGAGGAAGGUCCCCCACACUGGCACUGAGAUACGGGCCAGACUCCUACGGGAGGCAGCAGUAGGGAAUAUUGGGCAAUGGUCGGAAGACUGACCCAGCCAUGCCGCGUGCAGGAAGACGGCGCUCUGCGUUGUAAACUGCUUUUAUACGGGAAGAAAAGGCCCAUGCGUGGGACAUUGCCGGUACCGUAUGAAUAAGCACCGGCUAACUCCGUGCCAGCAGCCGCGGUAAUACGGAGGGUGCAAGCGUUGUCCGGAUUUAUUGGGUUUAAAGGGUGCGUAGGCGGCCUGUUAAGUCAGCGGUGAAAGUUUCCGGCUCAACCGGGAAACUGCCGUUGAUACUGUCAGGCUUGAGUGCCGAUGGGGUACAUGGAAUUUAUGGUGUAGCGGUGAAAUGCAUAGAUACCAUAAGGAACACCGAUAGCGAAGGCAUUGUACUGAUCGGCAACUGACGCUGAGGCACGAAAGCGUGGGUAGCG